This 2874-nucleotide ribosomal RNA is filed under the name Gammaproteobacteria bacterium. Its description in RNAcentral is "23S ribosomal RNA". It matches the Rfam family "Archaeal large subunit ribosomal RNA". The record is from RNAcentral. Lineage: Bacteria; Pseudomonadati; Pseudomonadota; Gammaproteobacteria.
CACCUGACGGAUUGCUAGGCUUGAGGAGAGAUGAAGGACGUGGCAAGCUGCGAUAAGCUCGGGGUAGGCGCACGCAUCCUAUGAUCCCGAGAUUUCCGAAUAGGACUUCCUGCUGCAGGUUUACCUGUGGCACCCCUAAUAGGGGUGGGAACCCCCCAAACGGAAGCAUCCAAGUAGGGGGAGGAAGAGAAAUCAAUUGAGAUUCCCUUAGUAGCGGCGAGCGAAAGGGGAAGAGUCCAAACUGAACCUGUAUGGGAAACUAUGCAGGGAUGUGGUGUUGUAGGGCCUGACCGCUCCCUCACCUGUGAAGUUGAAGUGGCCUGGAACGGCCUGCCAAAGAGGGUGAUAGCCCCGUAAACGUAAGCAGGUAGGGGUUGGGUUGGUGUCCCUGAGUACUAUGCUUUGGUUCAAGCAUAGGAAGCUGGGAGGAAACAACUUCCAAGGCUAAAUAUCUCUCAAGACCGAUAGUGCACUAGUACCGUGAGGGAAAGCUGAAAAGUACCCCGGAAGGGGGGUGAAAAGUGCAUGAAACCUAUUGGUUACAGACGUUUACGGUCUGAAAGGAUAGAUCCCCUCCGAAGGAAACCUUAGCAAUAAGGAAUACGAGGAGGGGGGACCAAGAUCGUAUGUUCCGUUUUGGAGCACGGGCCGGGGAGUUCAUCUUUGUGGUGAGGUUAAGGGUUAGAAGCCUGGAGCCGUAGGGAAACCGACUGUCCACAGCAUCGUUUAUUCGGUGUGAGGGACGGGAUAUGAAAGUGUCCGUAAUCACAGGGAUGACACUAGAAACCGAGUGAUCUAACCUUGGGCAGGGUGAAGCCCAGCGAAAGCUGGGUCGAGGCCCGAAGGAGUGUUGACGUGCAAUUCACUUCUCAGACUUGAGGUUAGGGGCAAAAGACCAAUCUAACUCGGUGAUAGCUAGUUCCCGCCGAAAUAUCUCGUAGGAUAGCCCAGCUCGAGGUUUCUGGCAGGGUAGAGUACUGAUUGAAAAGUAAGGGGCCGAAAGGUCCUCCUUUUCGUUCAAACUUCGAAUAUGCCAGAGCUGUAGACAGCUGGAGACGGGCAAUGGGGUAAGCUCAUAUGUCGCGAGGGGAACAACCCGAACUAAGGUUAAGGUCCCGAAAUCCUAGCUAAAUGUAGAAAUCGAAGGUUGUCCUCAACCAAAGACAGCUGGAAGGUAGGCUUAGAAGCAGCCACCCUCCAAGCAGUGCGUAACAGCUGACCAGCCGAGGUUGGGGGCGCCGAAAAUAGACGGGACUAAGCUAGGUACCGAUACCUUAGAGCACGGCAGUAGCCGUGUUGGUAGGCGGGCGUUGUGGUCGGGUGGAAGCUGGGUCGUNNUGGAAGCUGGGUCGUAAGAUCCAGUGGACUGUCCACAAGUGCAGAUCCCGGCGUCAGUAACAGCUAAGAAGAGUGAGAAUCUCUUCCGCCGAAAGGGCAAGGGUUCCCCGGCAAUGCGUCGUCAGCCGGGGGUAAGUCGGUCCUAAGGAUAGCCUUAACUGAGCAUUCCGAAAGGGAAACCGGUUAAUAUUCCGGUACCACGGAGAUACAUGCGGCAACGCGAGUCUGCAGCAAAACGUUUCCGGAUAGGUUGAGUGAAGCUGUCACUUCAUUUAACCCUUUAAACUCAGGGAGUACCGUAAUGGUGAGAACUGAGUGAAGUGGGGAAUAGCCGCCCGUUUUAGGGUGGUUCAGCUGAUUCCAGGAACCAGUGAAAAUUCUGCAGAAAGGAUUCUUCGUGAUCGUACCCAGAACUGACACAGGUGCCCUAGGUGAGAAGCCUCAGACGUAUCAGGUCCAACUCAGGGCGAGGGAAUUCGGCAAAAUAGCCCCGUAACUUAGGAAUAAGGGGUGCCUGAAGCCUUAGCUUCGGCUGGGGUUUCAGGUCGCAGUGACAAAGGGGAGGCGACUGUUUAAUAAAAACACAGGCGACUGCUAGUCCGAAAGGAUGUGUAUAGUCGCUGAAUCCUGGCCGGUGCCGGUACCUAAAACUUGGGUUCAACCGAGCUAAGGGCCGGUUAACGCCGGGAGUAACUCUGACUCUCUUAAGGUAGCCANNAUGAAUGGACCAACGACCCCCCCACUGUCCCCGCCUGGGGCCUGGUGAACUCACAUAACUUAGACGAACAGUCUAGGAUCUCCCAGCGGGGCGAAAAGUCCCUGUGGAAUUUUACUGCAGCUUGCUGCUGGGACGUGGUCUCGGGUACAGAGUGUAGGUGGGAGCCUUCGAGCCAUCCUCUCCGGGGGGUGGGGAGGCGCCAAUGUAACACCACCUAUCCGAGGUUACUUCUCUUACCGGAGGCAACUCCGAUACAACGGCAGGUGGGCAGUUUGGCUGGGGCGGCACCCCCUCGACAAGAGAUCAAGGGGGCCCUAAGCUCGACUCAUCCGGGUCAGAACUCCGGAGUAGAGGGCAAGACCAAAAGUCGGGCUGACUGGAUCCUCAACAGCAAGGGAUCCAGAGGCGAAAGCCGGGUCUAGCGAUCAUUCAUGUCCCUAUUGUUGGGGGCUGGAUGUGACAGAAAAAUUACCCCAGGAGUAAUUGGCUCGUCUCCUCCGAGAGUCCCUAUCGACGAGGAGGAUUGGUACUCCGUCGUCGUCCCUUCCCAUCCUGGGUCCGCAGCAGGGCCCAAGGGUGCGGCUGUUCGCCGAUCAAAGGGGAAUGCGAGAUGGGUUUAGACCGUCGCGAGACAGGUCGGAUUCUACCUGCUGGGAGUGUUGGUCGCCUGAGGGCAAGGCGCCCCUAGUACGAGAGGAACGGGGUAUCGUAGCCUCUAGUUUACCGGUUGUCCGACAGGGCAGUGCCGGGCAGCCACGCUGCCGAGGAUAAGAGCUGAAAGCAUCUAAGCUCGAAACCUCUCCCGAAAAUAGGCGGCC